Molecule: long non-coding RNA, 300 nt
Organism: Sinocyclocheilus grahami
Lineage: Eukaryota; Metazoa; Chordata; Actinopteri; Cypriniformes; Cyprinidae
Exons: 3
Source: RefSeq, a predicted model, not a curated record
CCUAUCUAACAGAUCGAGUCUGAGAUAAAGGGUUGCCUGGACUUCCUACGUACAGUGUAUGAUGUGUUUGGCUUCACCUUCAAAUUGAACCUUUCCACCAGGCCAGAGAAGUUCCUAGGAGAACCUGAAGUGUGGGACCAGGCUGAGAAGCAACUGGAGAACAGCCUGAAUGACUUUGGAGAGAAAUGGGUUCUGAAUCCUGGUGAUGGAGCUUUCUAUGGACCAAAGAUUGAUAUUCAGAUAAAGGAUGCCAUUGGCAGGUAUCACCAAUGUGCCACCAUUCAGCUGGACUUCCAGUUG